This 453-nucleotide ribosomal RNA is filed under the name Cronobacter sakazakii. Its description in RNAcentral is "bacterial SSU rRNA". It matches the Rfam family "Bacterial small subunit ribosomal RNA", at positions 337 to 783 of the family's 1533-position model. Lineage: Bacteria; Pseudomonadati; Pseudomonadota; Gammaproteobacteria; Enterobacterales; Enterobacteriaceae. The record is from RNAcentral.
UCCUACGGGAGGCAGCAGUGGGGAAUAUUGCACAAUGGGCGCAAGCCUGAUGCAGCCAUGCCGCGUGUAUGAAGAAGGCCUUCGGGUUGUAAAGUACUUUCAGCGGGGAGGAAGGUGUUGUGGUUAAUAACCACAGCAAUUGACGUUACCCGCAGAAGAAGCACCGGCUAACUCCGUGCCAGCAGCCGCGGUAAUACGGAGGGUGCAAGCGUUAAUCGGAAUUACUGGGCGUAAAGCGCACGCAGGCGGUCUGUUAAGUCAGAUGUGAAAUCCCCGGGCUCAACCUGGGAACUGCAUUUGAAACUGGCAGGCUUGAGUCUCGUAGAGGGGGUAGAAUUCCAGGUGUAGCGGUGAAAUGCGUAGAGAUCUGGAGGAAUACCGGUGGCGAAGGCGGCCCCCUGGACGAAGACUGACGCUCAGGUGCGAAAGCGUGGGGAGCAAACAGGAUUAGAU